RNAcentral lists this ribosomal RNA (1245 nucleotides) under metagenome. Its description in RNAcentral is "bacterial LSU rRNA". It matches the Rfam family "Bacterial large subunit ribosomal RNA", at positions 1564 to 2817 of the family's 2925-position model. The record is from RNAcentral.
UGAAUACGAGAUGCUACGGCGUCGAGGCAGUCUAUGUCAUACUUCCAAGAAAAGCUUGCACUGUCAUAAACAAAUAAUGCCUGUACCAUAACCGACACAGGUGGGUAGGUAGAGUAUACUAAGGGGCGCGAGAUAACUCUCUCUAAGGAACUCGGCAAAAUGACUCCGUAACUUCGGGAGAAGGAGUGCCUUAUUUUAUAAGGUUGCAAUAACAAGAUCCAAGCAACUGUUUACCAAAAACACAGGUCUCCGCUAAGUCGUAAGACGAUGUAUGGGGGCUGACGCCUGCCCAGUGCCAGAAGGUUAAAGAAGUUGGUUAGCAUCCGCGAAGCUGAUAACUGAAGCCCUGGUGAACGGCGGCCGUAACAAUAACGGUCCUAAGGUAGCGAAAUUCCUUGUCGGGUAAGUUCCGACCCGCACGAAAGGCGUAAUGAUUUGGAUACUGUCUCAGAGAGGGGCUCGGUGAAAUAGACUUGUCUGUGAAGAUGCGGACUACCUGCACCAGGACAGAAAGACCCUAUGAAGCUUUACUGUAACUUGAAAUUGAAAUUGGACUUUACUUGCGCAGUAUAGGUGGGAGGCGUUGAGAAUAUUCUUGCGGGAAUGUUGGAGCCAUCAGUGAGAUACCACUCUUGUAAUGUUAGAUUUCUAACUUUGUAUCAUUAUCUGGUCAAAGGACAGUUUCAGGCGGGCAGUUUGACUGGGGCGGUCGCCUCCCAAACGGUAACGGAGGCGCACAAAGGUUUCCUCUGAACGGGUAGAAAUCGUAUCUAGAGUGUAAAGGCAUAAGGAAGCUUGACUGUGAGACCUACAAGUCGAGCAGGGACGAAAGUCGGUCUUAGUGAUCUGACGGUGCUGAGUGGAAAGGCCGUCACUCAACGGAUAAAAGUUACUCUAAGGAUAACAGGCUGAUCUCCCCCAAGAGUUCACAUCGACGGGGAGGUUUGGCACCUCGAUGUCGGCUCAUCGCAUCCUGGGGCGGUAGUACGUCCCAAGGGUUGGGCUGUUCGCCCAUGAAAGCGGUACGCGAGCUGGGUUCAGAACGUCGUGAGACAGCUCGGUCCAUAUCCGGUGUAGGCGUUAGAAUAUUGAGAGGAGCCUUCUUUAGUACGAGAGGACCGAGAAGGACAUACCUCUGGUGUACCAGUUAUCGUGCCAACGGUAAACGCUGGGUAGCUAUGUAUGGAGUGGAUAACCGCUGAAAGCAUCUAAGUGGGAAGCCCACCUCAAGAUAAGUAUUCUCAU